Molecule: ribosomal RNA, 497 nt
Filed under: uncultured bacterium
Lineage: Bacteria
Description: partial 16S ribosomal RNA
Rfam family: Bacterial small subunit ribosomal RNA
Source: RNAcentral
GAUGAACGCUGGCGGCGUGCCUAAUACAUGCAAGUCGAGCGAACGGACGAGAAGCUUGCUUCUCUGAUGUUAGCGGCGGACGGGUGAGUAACACGUGGAUAACCUACCUAUAAGACUGGGAUAACUUCGGGAAACCGUAGCUAAUACCGGAUAAUAUUUUGAACCGCAUGGUUCAAAAGUGAAAGACGGUCUUGCUGUCACUUAUAGAUGGAUCCGCGCUGCAUUAGCUAGUUGGUAAGGUAACGGCUUACCAAGGCAACGAUGCAUAGCCGACCUGAGAGGGUUGUCGGCCACACUGGAACUGAGACACGGUCCAGACUCCUACGGGAGGCAGCCGUAGGGAAUCUUCCGCAAUGGGCGAAAGCCUUACGGAGCAACGCCGCGUGAGUGAUGAAGGUCUUCGGAUCGUAAAACUCUGUUAUUAGGGAAGAACAUAUGUGUAAGUAACUGUGCACAUCUUGACGGUACCUAAUCCGAAAGCCACGGCUAACUUCGUG